This 134-nucleotide small nucleolar RNA is filed under the name Acanthisitta chloris (rifleman). RNAcentral describes it as "Small nucleolar RNA SNORA17". It matches the Rfam family "Small nucleolar RNA SNORA17". From Rfam's summary of the family: snoRNA ACA 17 belongs to the H/ACA family of snoRNAs and is predicted to guide pseudouridylation of the 28S rRNA at positions U4659 and U4598. It shares the same host gene together with ACA43. Lineage: Eukaryota; Metazoa; Chordata; Aves; Passeriformes; Acanthisittidae. The record is from Rfam by way of RNAcentral.
CCUGCCCCAGCUCGUGUUGCAUUCGUGGCUGCAGUGCCACGUGUGUGUCAUUCGGUGGCAGAGAGCAAAAGGCGAUGUCUUCCCUGGUGCUCUGACCUCUGUGAGCUCUCAGGAUUGCUCAACAACCUGACAUU